UCUUGACCUCGGAUCAGGUAGGGAUACCCGCUGAACUUAAGCAU
RNAcentral lists this ribosomal RNA (44 nucleotides) under Boeremia lilacis. RNAcentral describes it as "partial 28S ribosomal RNA". RNAcentral also lists the same sequence under 4 other names. The record is from RNAcentral. Lineage: Eukaryota; Fungi; Ascomycota; Dothideomycetes; Pleosporales; Didymellaceae.